CCGCAGUACGCUGUGCGGCGUGCUUAACACAUGCAAGUCGAACGAUGGCUUUUGUGCUUGCACAAAAUGAUUAGUGGCGAACGGGUGAGUAACACGUGAGUAACCUGCCCUUAACUUCGGGAUAAGCCUGGGAAACCGGGUCUAAUACCGGAUACGACCUCCUGACGCAUGUCAUGGGGGUGGAAAGCUUGAUGCGGUUUUGGAUGGACUCGCGGCCUAUCAGCUUGUUGGUUGGGGUAAUGGCCCACCAAGGCGACGACGGGUAGCCGGCCUGAGAGGGUGACCGGCCACACUGGGACUGAGACACGGCCCAGACUCCUACGGGAGGCAGCAGUGGGGAAUAUUGCACAAUGGGCGAAAGCCUGAUGCAGCGACGCCGCGUGAGGGACGAAGGCCUUCGGGUUGUAAACCUCUUUCAGCAGGGAAGAAGCGAAAGUGACGGUACCUGCAGAAGAAGCGCCGGCUAACUACGUGCCAGCAGCCCGGUAAUACGUAGGGGGGGGGGGGGGAUGCGGAAUUAUUGGGCGUAAAGAGCUCGUAG
Molecule: ribosomal RNA, 541 nt
Filed under: Arthrobacter koreensis
Lineage: Bacteria; Bacillati; Actinomycetota; Actinomycetes; Micrococcales; Micrococcaceae
Description: partial 16S ribosomal RNA
Rfam family: Bacterial small subunit ribosomal RNA
Source: RNAcentral